UCGAGUCGUUGAUUUCACACUGCCGAGAAAAGCCUCUAGAUAGAAAAUAGGUGCCCGUACCGCAAACCGACACAGGUAGUCAAGAUGAGAAUUCUAAGGUGAGCGAGCGAACUCUCGUUAAGGAACUCGGCAAAAUGACCCCGUAACUUCGGGAGAAGGGGUGCUCUUUAGGGUUAACGCCCAGAAGAGCCGCAGUGAAUAGGCCCAAGCGACUGUUUAUCAAAAACACAGGUCUCUGCUAAACCGUAAGGUGAUGUAUAGGGGCUGACGCCUGCCCGGUGCUGGAAGGUUAAGAGGAGUGGUUAGCUUCUGCGAAGCUACGAAUCGAAGCCCCAGUAAACGGCGGCCGUAACUAUAACGGUCCUAAGGUAGCGAAAUUCCUUGUCGGGUAAGUUCCGACCCGCACGAAAGGCGUAACGAUUUGGGCACUGUCUCAACGAGAGACUCGGUGAAAUCAUAGUACCUGUGAAGAUGCAGGUUACCCGCGACAGGACGGAAAGACCCCGUGGAGCUUUACUGUAGCCUGAUAUUGAAAUUCGGCACAGCUUGUACAGGAUAGGUAGGAGCCUUUGAAACGUGAGCGCUAGCUUACGUGGAGGCGCUGGUGGGAUACUACCCUAGCUGUGUUGGCUUUCUAACCCGCACCACUUAUCGUGGUGGGAGACAGUGUCAGGCGGGCAGUUUGACUGGGGCGGUCGCCUCCUAAAAGGUAACGGAGGCGCUCAAAGGUUCCCUCAGAAUGGUUGGAAAUCAUUCAUAGAGUGUAAAGGCAUAAGGGAGCUUGACUGCGAGACCUACAAGUCGAGCAGGGUCGAAAGACGGACUUAGUGAUCCGGUGGUUCCGCAUGGAAGGGCCAUCGCUCAACGGAUAAAAGCUACCCCGGGGAUAACAGGCUUAUCUCCCCCAAGAGUUCACAUCGACGGGGAGGUUUGGCACCUCGAUGUCGGCUCAUCGCAUCCUGGGGCUGUAGUCGGUCCCAAGGGUUGGGCUGUUCGCCCAUUAAAGCGGUACGCGAGCUGGGUUCAGAACGUCGUGAGACAGUUCGGUCCCUAUCCGUCGUGGGCGUAGGAAAUUUGAGAGGAGCUGUCCUUAGUACGAGAGGACCGGGAUGGACAUACCUCUGGUGUACCAGUUGUCGUGCCAACGGCAUAGCUGGGUAGCUAUGUGUGGACGGGAUAAGUGCUGAAAGCAUCUAAGCAUGAAGCCCCCCUCAAGAUGAGAUUUCCCAACUUCGGUUAUAAGAUCCCUCAAAGAUGAUGAGGUUAAUAGGUUCGAGGUGGAAGCAUGGUGACAUGUGGAGCUGACGAAUACUAAUCGAUCGAAGACUUAAUCAA
Molecule: ribosomal RNA, 1335 nt
Filed under: Staphylococcus aureus
Lineage: Bacteria; Bacillati; Bacillota; Bacilli; Caryophanales; Staphylococcaceae
Description: partial 23S ribosomal RNA
Rfam family: Bacterial large subunit ribosomal RNA
Source: RNAcentral